UACGUAGGGCGCAAGCGUUAUCCGGAAUUAUUGGGCGUAAAGAGCUCGUAGGCGGUUUGUCGCGUCUGCUGUGAAAUCCGGAGGCUCAACCUCCGGCCUGCAGUGGGUACGGGCAGACUAGAGUGCGGUAGGGGAGAUUGGAAUUCCUGGUGUAGCGGUGGAAUGCGCAGAUAUCAGGAGGAACACCGAUGGCGAAGGCAGAUCUCUGGGCCGUAACUGACGCUGAGGAGCGAAAGGGUGGGGAGCAAACAG
Molecule: ribosomal RNA, 252 nt
Filed under: uncultured bacterium
Lineage: Bacteria
Description: partial 16S ribosomal RNA
Rfam family: Bacterial small subunit ribosomal RNA
Source: RNAcentral